This 165-nucleotide non-coding RNA is filed under the name Staphylococcus lugdunensis. RNAcentral's name for it is "Lysine riboswitch". It matches the Rfam family "Lysine riboswitch aptamer". Rfam says of the family: Riboswitches are metabolite binding domains within certain messenger RNAs that serve as precision sensors for their corresponding targets. Allosteric rearrangement of mRNA structure is mediated by ligand binding, and this results in modulation of gene expression. This family includes riboswitches that sense lysine in a number of genes involved in lysine metabolism, including lysC. The record is from RNAcentral. Lineage: Bacteria; Bacillati; Bacillota; Bacilli; Caryophanales; Staphylococcaceae.
GAGUUAGAGGUUGCAACUUUAAUAAGUAACUUAUCUAUAGUUUUUAUGGGACGCAUAUAGGUGAGUGAAAGGUAAUGUUGCCGAAGCAAAUGUUUAUCCAUAAUAAAUGUUUGUUGGGACAGUUAUCGAAUAGAUACUGUACUGUCACAAUAUGUGAUGUGCUAC